This 855-nucleotide ribosomal RNA is filed under the name Aschersonia incrassata. RNAcentral describes it as "eukaryotic LSU rRNA". It matches the Rfam family "Eukaryotic large subunit ribosomal RNA", at positions 71 to 947 of the family's 3401-position model. The record is from RNAcentral. Lineage: Eukaryota; Fungi; Ascomycota; Sordariomycetes; Hypocreales; Clavicipitaceae.
GGGAUUGCCCCAGUAACGGCGAGUGAAGCGGCAACAGCUCAAAUUUGAAAUCUGGUCCCCCCCGCGGGGGCCCGAGUUGUAAUUUGCAGAGGAUGCUUUUGGCGAGGCGCCUUCCGAGUUCCCUGGAACGGGACGCCACAGAGGGUGAGAGCCCCGUCUGGUCGGCCGCCGAGCCUCUGUAAAGCUCCUUCGACGAGUCGAGUAGUUUGGGAAUGCUGCUCAAAAUGGGAGGUAUAUGUCUUCUAAAGCUAAAUACCGGCCAGAGACCGAUAGCGCACAAGUAGAGUGAUCGAAAGAUGAAAAGCACCUUGAAAAGGGGGUUAAACAGUACGUGAAAUUGUUGAAAGGGAAGCGUUUGUGACCAGACUUGGGCUCGGCGGAUCAUCCGGCGGUCUCCCGCCGGUGCACUCUGCCCCGUCCCAGGCCAGCAUCGGUUCGCGCCGGGGGACAAAGGCGGCGGGAACGUGGCUCCCCAGGGAGUGUUAUAGCCCGCCGCGCCAUGCCCCGGGGCGGACCGAGGUUCGCGCGUCCGCUAGGAUGCUGGCGUAAUGGUCACCAGCGACCCGUCUUGAAACACGGACCGAGGAGUCGUCUUCGUAUGCGAGUGUUCGGGUGUCAAACCCCUACGCGGAAUGAAAGUGAACGCGGGUGAGAGCUUCGGCGCAUCAUCGACCGAUCCUGAUGUUCUCGGAUGGAUUUGAGUAGGAGCAUACGGGGCCGGACCCGAAAGAAGGUGAACUAUGCCUGUGUAGGGUGAAGCCAGAGGAAACUCUGGUGGAGGCUCGCAGCGGUUCUGACGUGCAAAUCGAUCGUCAAACAUGGGCAUGGGGGCGAAAGACUAAUCGAACCUUCUAG